RNAcentral lists this ribosomal RNA (878 nucleotides) under Hypomyces sp. KP-2022a. RNAcentral describes it as "partial large subunit ribosomal RNA". It matches the Rfam family "Eukaryotic large subunit ribosomal RNA", at positions 55 to 962 of the family's 3401-position model. Lineage: Eukaryota; Fungi; Ascomycota; Sordariomycetes; Hypocreales; Hypocreaceae. The record is from RNAcentral.
AGGAAAGAAACCAACAGGGAUUGCCCCAGUAACGGCGAGUGAAGCGGCAACAGCUCAAAUUUGAAAUCUGGUCCUCACGGGCCCGAGUUGUAAUUUGUAGAGGAUGCUUUUGGUGAGGCACCGCCCGAGUUCCCUGGAACGGGACGCCGCAGAGGGUGAGAGCCCCGUCUGGCUGGCUGCCGAGCCUUUGUAAAGCUCCUUCGACGAGUCGAGUAGUUUGGGAAUGCUGCUCAAAAUGGGAGGUAUAUGUCUUCUAAAGCUAAAUACCGGCCAGAGACCGAUAGCGCACAAGUAGAGUGAUCGAAAGAUGAAAAGCACUUUGAAAAGAGGGUUAAAUAGUACGUGAAAUUGUUGAAAGGGAAGCGCUCAUGACCAGACUUGGGCUUGGCGAAUCAUCCAGCGUUCUCGCUGGUGCACUUCGCCUCGUCCAGGCCAGCAUCAGUUCGCUUCGGGGGAUAAAGGCUUUGGGAACGUGGCUCCUCCGGGAGUGUUAUAGCCCAUUGUGUAAUACCCUGAGGUGGACUGAGGUUCGCGCAUCUGCAAGGAUGCUGGCGUAAUGGUCAUCAGCGACCCGUCUUGAAACACGGACCAAGGAGUCGUCUUCGUAUGCGAGUGUUCGGGUGUAAAACCCCUACGCGUAAUGAAAGUGAACGCAGGUGAGAGCUUCGGCGCAUCAUCGACCGAUCCUGAUGUUCUCGGAUGGAUUUGAGUAAGAGCAUACGGGGCCGGACCCGAAAGAAGGUGAACUAUGCCUGUAUAGGGUGAAGCCAGAGGAAACUCUGGUGGAGGCUCGCAGCGGUUCUGACGUGCAAAUCGAUCGUCAAAUAUGGGCAUGGGGGCGAAAGACUAAUCGAACCUUCUAGUAGCUGGUUCCGCGA